CUUUUGGUUCUAUUCAGGCCUUUAAGUGAUUGGAUGAGGAUCAUCUACUGGGGAAAGAAAUAAGCUUUAUUCAGUGUACUGAUUCAAAUGUUAAUCUCAUCCAAAACCAUGCUCACAGACACACCCAGCAUAAUGUUUGACCAAGUAUCUGGGCACCUUGUGGUUCAGUCAAAUUAACACAUAUUAACUACCUUAGCAAGAUGAAAAGCAGUGAAUGCAGGAUGGUGGUUGAAAUUUUAAAUACGUUGGUUAUAUAGUCUCAUUGAAAAAGGAACAUUUGAGUGAAGACUUGAAGGGGUGGUGGAAUAAACCAUUUAUUUGCUUAUUGCCUGUCUCCCUCUAUCAGAAUGAAAGCUUCAUGAAGCGAGAGACUUAAUUUUUAUCUGUUAUAUCCCUAGUGCCUGGUGCAGGGUAAGUACUCAAAAAUAUUUGUUGAGUGAAUAAGUAAUGAUUGAGGAUGGGGACUGGUUUGUAUCUGGUUAUAUCUCUUGUCCUUAGCACAGUACCUGGCACAUCCUAAGCCAUCCAAAAGAGUUGGUUAUAUGAUUGUCUUUGAAUUCUAUGACUGUUUAUAAUAUACAGUAAACUUCACUGAAGACACUGACUCACUUGUUUUGUUUGAUAUUGUGGCCCCAGCACUGCAGCACUUAGAACAGUGCCUAGAAAAUACAUAAUAGUUAGUGAAAAAUUGUUAUUGACCAAAUGGGCACAGAUAAGGAGACUGAGGCUCAGAAAUGUUAAAUGAGUUGAAAAUAGUCUCACAGCCAGGAAGCAACAAAGCAUGGGGCCUAACUUUGUCUUUUUAAUUCUCAAAUUACAAUAUUUCAUCUAUAUCAAACUGCUUUAAAAAUUGUCCUGGGGUCUCUCGUUUGGCCAUGGCCUUUCUUUCACCUACACCAUCUCUCUUCCUUGUCCACUCCAGGCUGUGUUGUGUGGUCAUGUCUCCCUGAGUGACAAGCAGGCUGGUUAUGUGGAGUUGUCAGCACACAAGCCUCCCAGAGGAUGGCCUUCUCCUCCAGGUGCCACAGUGUCAGGGGACACUCUCUUCCAUUAGCACAAGCAGAAGGUAAUGCAACCUUUUGGUGGCCAUCGACUUUGUCAGACAAUAGUGCCGUUCAGUUUGAAAGACUCCACUGGGAAGUCGCAGACUUUUAAAACUAAUUUGGUGUUUAUUCAACUUUGCAAUCACUUCUAUGUACUAUCUGUGUUUCACACACCAUGAAACGGUGCUAUACUGUGCAAUUGAAUUAGUUGUACAGUGACUCAAAGGCAUUAAACAAUGACUUUGAUAUUUUAAGUACUGACUAGGAGGGAUUUUUAAUUCCUUCCUCAUAAUGAAAACAGCAAAAAAAAUCCAGUUACACAACCCUGGAACACUUACUCUCUUUUCUCUUCUGGGUGGACCCCAGUGAGACAGAAAAAACCUCCGAGCACUUAAUUUGCUUCAUGGCAGGAGAAAAAUUAAACAAGCAUAGACGUGCAACCUUAAUGACACCCAGCAACACUAGAAUAACAGUUCCCAGCUUCUAAAACCUGAUAUUUAGUAUAAUGGGUAAAUCUGGUGGGAGCUUUUCAGUGCUGCUGAGUUUGAAAAAACAGCUACUUUGUGAGGAGGGGUGGGGGUAGAGGCAGGGAGAGUGUCUUGCUUGUGCUCACUUGUUAGGAGGGUCUCAGUGCAGAAGCCAAGCCAGAGGGGUGCAGGCAAAAUACAGCACUGGCAGGAGAGUCCCUGAAGGCUGUGACCCUUCUGCAGACAACAGCAUCACUAUGCUAGGCACAAAUGUGUCAGUUCUGCCAGAAACAACAUGGGACUUUUCAUACAGUGCCUUUCUGGAGAUGGUACUGACAGAAAGGAAGAAGAGAGGGGGAAAAACAAUGCAACAAAAAACGAAAACCAUAGCAAGUGAAUUAGUACCAUGAAACUAUGAGCAUUAACUGGUUAUAGUUCAGGGCAAAGCACCUCAGUGAUGAUUCACAUCUGACAAUAAAUACAGGAAUAGCUGUUGAAAGCUAGUUUGAUUUUCACAAAGAGGUUUAAACAAACUUUCGUUUGUUCAUUAGUCUUAAGCAACACAUUUAUGGCAGGGGAUGCAUUAAACCUAACAUAUGUCUGUGACCAAGGUAUUUGGUGGUUUUAAAGAUGAAGACACAAAGCCGUGCAUAUAGUUUAUGCGGAGCGGCCUUGAACUACCCGUAAUGGAGUGAGAUACAGUUAUUAUGUAUUAAUGCUGUGAAUCUUCAUCCAGAGAGAGAAAACAAACAGGCGAGAAGGAAUGCAGCAUCUUUGAAGAUAAAGACUUAGAGGGCCCCAUUCUGCAAUUGGUAUUGAGUUUGCAUAAACUCAUUUUGUUGUUGUUGUUGCUGCAUAAUUUUUAAAAUGCAACUGGUUUAAAUCUGUUCCCUGAGGUAAUUUACGCUAAAGCAGCAUUCUAACACCAUAAAUUCCCUGCUUAUGGCAAUCUCUGGUUGGGUGUCAGGUCGGUGUAAGUUACUGAGCAAAUGGCUGCUUCAAAAUUUUUAGGGUAAUUGCCUCUAUAACUCGUUUAGCAUAGGCCUUGUCAGGAAAUCUCUAAUUGUAAUUGAUGCCUCUGCUUCCUUUUCUCCUCCUGCUUUUUAACCACAUUGUUGUACUAAAAGCUUCACUCUCCAGUGCAGAAGAGCAUGGGGCUUUUCAUCUUCUGUAGCACUCGGAUUUUGUUAUUAUUAAAGCCUUCCCUCAUGAAAACGUGAUGUCACCCCCGAUGGGGUCCAGAAGGUGGUGGUUGGUUGGGUGUACCUCUGCCCCAGCCCAAUCUCUACCCUUGCCUAGGAAACCUUCAGUACAGAGAAGGUAGAUCUUGAUGGGGUUGAGAUAAAAUGAAGAGCAAGUUACCACUACUCCAAUUCUAAGUUUUGUAUGAAUGCUGGGUUGGCUGUUGAUUUCUACCAGAAUGGUGUGAGCAAAGUCAACAGCAUAUUUUUCUCUCUUCUCUCAUCUCAUGUGUAUGGGCAUGAUGCCUUGGUAGGAAGGGUAUCAUUGGAAUUGUAUAUUACAAUAUUCAUGGCCAGGAGCUUCUGUUGAUUUGUGUCUACAUACGGGGAUUUUUCAUGAAAUUGCAUAAAGCAUGUAAAGAAUCAACUCCAAAAUCCAAUUUGUUAAUUAUCUUGCUUAAAAUAUACUUCAAUUAUAUCACAUUUGACAUCGUAUGUCAUUGAUAGUAGACGGAAAUAACACUUAAAAUCAAUAAGUGUUUUUAAUUUAUUUUACUUAUUAUGCUUGUCAUAAUAUUUUGACAUGGAGUGCUGACAUGUCAACGAUGCUGUUAUCAGGAGGUAAGGCAAUGGCAUUAAACUGUCUCACCAUCUGUGCUACUGUUUCAGCAUAAAGUGGGCCCAUGGGGAAAAUAUAGCUAAAAUCUCCAAUGAAGUGUCUGCUUAUGAAGUAAAUACAGGUCAUCACUGAAUAAAGCAGCCUGAGCUCAAAACAAAACCUGAGGGAAAAAAAUCCACACUCUAAUCUAUUAUCUUUUCUCCCAAAGGAUUCAACAAUAAGAGCACUAAAAAUAUGCGAGUGCUGUCUGUGUGCCAGACUUGUGAAAAGUGUUCCACAUAUUUUAUCUCAUCUCCUCUAAGAGGUGAGGUACUUGCACAUGGCAAAACCCAGCUCUGAAUGAAAGUCUGUGUGAUUCCAUGCCUGGAUCUAUUCUCAGAAACCAAAGCCAUCACUAUUCUAUAUGGUUUGGAUAGAAAAUGGAUUCUGACUUCUGGAUCCUCUCCUGGCUAUUACAAUCCACAUCGCAGGGGGGUGAGGCACCCCCCGCGAUAUGGGGAGUCAUAGCAACCCCCUCUCCCCCCCUGGCUGUCACAAUCCACAUCGCAGGUGUGUGAGGCAACCCCUGCGAUAUGGGGAGUAAUAGGAACCCCCUCCACCUGCCCCGGCUAUCACGAUCCACAUCUCAGGGGGGUGAGGCACCCCCCGCAAUAAGGGGAGUAAUAGCAACGAUCUCUCCACCCCUAGCUAUUACGAUCCACGGUGGACUCAUAGCCUGUUUACGAUAUUCAUCUCGACAUCAUGAGAUUCUACCUUUAGGUCUUUUCUUCCGUUCUGUCCUCCAAAUCGGCCUCUUCCGAGUGUGUUGACCAGGGCCAGCCAGGCAGAAGGCUGGUUUCGCUCAAAGAGGAUCCUCUCGCCCAUCCUGGAACUUCAGGCCUGUUUCGGUUGGACCUGCAGAGAAGCCUUAGGGGCCACUUCGUUCGGCAUCCCAGGGGGCAGGUGCGCGGUACAGGGAAGAAGAGGGUUUGACUGUUGUUCUCAACCCCCGGCACCAAACCUCCACCCUGGUGCGCGCCCCUCCAGGCUCCUGCUGGUCUCAGUCGCCGGUAGUUAGGUCUCCUGUCAGCCUGAGCUCCCGAGACACCCAGCCCCGGAAGGACACGUAGGGGAAACCAGCUACUCACUUCGGUCUUGUCCGCAAGGGAUCCCUUUCUGACGGGAAAGAAAGGCGGCGAGUCCGGUCCUGUUGAGUAAGCGGAAGAGAGAUCAAGGGGAAGAGAAGAAAAAUCCUGUGAGGUUUCAAGAUCUAAAGUUACCAUGAAGUCGACCUAACCUCGUCUGGAGGUCCUCCUGUGGCUGGCGAAGGUGAGUCGAGUCCCCGUCUUCAGUUUGUCAAAGUGGACAAAGCCUACGACAAUGGCCAGUACCAGCU
Molecule: long non-coding RNA, 4685 nt
Filed under: Homo sapiens (human)
Lineage: Eukaryota; Metazoa; Chordata; Mammalia; Primates; Hominidae
Description: HSALNT0014570
Source: RNAcentral